RNAcentral lists this ribosomal RNA (221 nucleotides) under uncultured bacterium. Its description in RNAcentral is "partial 16S ribosomal RNA". It matches the Rfam family "Bacterial small subunit ribosomal RNA", at positions 1282 to 1500 of the family's 1533-position model. The record is from RNAcentral.
CCGGUCUCAGUUCGGAUCGCAGUCUGCAACUCGACUGCGUGAAGGUGGAGUCGCUAGUAAUCGCGGAUCAGCAACGCCGCGGUGAAUGCGUUCCCGGGCCUUGUACACACCGCCCGUCAAGUCAUGAAAGUGGGCAGCACCCGAAGACGGUGGCCUAACCCUUGUGGGGGGAGCCGUCUAAGGUGAGGCUCGUGAUUGGGACUAAGUCGUAACAAGGUAUC